AGUGGGAUAACUGGGUCAGAUGGUGAUUCCAUUCCUAUUUUUUUUGAGCAAUCUCCAUACUGCUUUUCAGAGUGGUUGCACCAAUUUGCAGUCCCACAAGCAAU
This 104-nucleotide microRNA precursor is filed under the name Marmota monax (woodchuck). Lineage: Eukaryota; Metazoa; Chordata; Mammalia; Rodentia; Sciuridae. The record is from RNAcentral.